GAAUCUGUUUUGUGUGGUCCUCGAUUUAGCACACUCUCCAAAUAUAGAAAAUCGCCCACCUUUGUGCGGACGUGAAGGAGUGCCUUGUACACCCUGCAGAUGAAACACAAGUUCACUUUUGAUAUUCACAUAUUAGUACCCCAUAAAUUUAUCUCGUUUUUAAAUCCAGAUUUAGCCCACUUUUCCUUUCGACUGCCAGAUAGUCGCAUUGACAACCGAUCGUGGCGAGAAAAGAUGGAAACGAACCAGCCCGGGCCCGUUUUGCCAACUCUACCGAAUAAUAAUAAUGAUGUGCUACGCGACUAUGGGUACGGGAAUAAUGGGCUCAGUCUAGAUUAAAAAUCAAAACAAAUGAUUGGGUAUAAAUUUGGACUGAAAAACAGAAGAGCCUACCUUUCUUCUUCCAUGAGGUCUGCGGUUAUUCCAACAGAACAAGCCGCUGCAACCGCCUGCCCCGGUACUAGAUUCAUAUCCCCUGCAGAAGAAUAAAGGAAAUGAGAAGACAAUGACAGGGAAGGAACAAUUCUCACUUUACUUUUCUGGGUUUAGAACAGAUAAGAAACCUAAGCUCCAUAAGCUUGUUUCAGAAAUUUGGAAUUAUUAAAACUGACUUACAUAUUAUCUUUGGUGAAGUUAUCUGGGAAGCUGGUAUUAUGCAGCAAGCUCGGAGAUAUGGGUGCUGCAAGGGCACAUCCAGAGAAUCCUUCGAUUUCGGAUGAUCUAUGCCAUCCUGCGGCAACACUUGAUUCCUUUCUGGUUUCAAAUGGCUCAAUGAUCCAGUGGCGCCUUUGUCCAUUGCCUGCAGCCAUGCAGUCUCCAACCGUUGCUCAUGGAUGAUGGAUUCAAUUCUCCGCAAAGGAAGAUCUGACUUGCCAUCUUCUGAGUGAGCAGCAACCAUAAAGGGUGAUGGAGAACCUGAUUUUUCAAGUGCAAAUUGUGCAUCUGUGUUCUGCUUGGGGACUGUAGCUUCUCUAAGCAUACUUAUGUGCUCCUGGUCAGUUACCUUUGAACUCUGUCGUCGACUACUGGUGGACUGAGUUCGAUCAGGAGAAGAUAGAGAACCUAAUUGUAAUAGGGUUGCCGUGAACCAGGUUGAUCGUUCAGUUGAAACUCUGAGAUGCUUUUCUGCCUCAGAUAGUAGAGUUAAAGCAUGCUUAAGUCUGUCCAAUUCCCUUUCA
Molecule: long non-coding RNA, 1178 nt
Organism: Salvia miltiorrhiza (redroot sage)
Lineage: Eukaryota; Viridiplantae; Streptophyta; Magnoliopsida; Lamiales; Lamiaceae
Exons: 3
Source: RefSeq, a predicted model, not a curated record